This 69-nucleotide transfer RNA is filed under the name Rattus norvegicus (Norway rat). It matches the Rfam family "tRNA". From Rfam's summary of the family: Transfer RNA (tRNA) molecules are approximately 80 nucleotides in length. Lineage: Eukaryota; Metazoa; Chordata; Mammalia; Rodentia; Muridae. The record is from Rfam by way of RNAcentral.
GGGGAUUUAGCUCAGUGGUAGAGCGCUUGCCUAGCACGCACAAGGCCCUGGGUUCGGUCCCCAGUUCCG